This 63-nucleotide transfer RNA is filed under the name Scelio sp. ZJUH_2016028. Its description in RNAcentral is "tRNA-Thr". Lineage: Eukaryota; Metazoa; Arthropoda; Insecta; Hymenoptera; Scelionidae. The record is from RNAcentral.
AGUUAGGUAGUUUAAAAUAAAACAUUAAUCUUGUAAAUUAAAAAUAAUUAUCUUUCCCAACUU